GACGAACGCUGGCGGCGUGCUUAGCACAUGCAAGUCGAACGAUGAAACCGGAGCUUGCUCCGGUGGAUUAGUGGCGAACGGGUGAGUAACACGUGAGUAACCUGCCCUUGACUCUGGGAUAACUGCGGGAAACGGUAGCUAAUACCGGAUACGACCCUCGGAGGCAUCUCCUGGGGGGGGAAAGAAUUUCGGUCAAGGAUGGACUCGCGGCCUAUCAGCUAGUUGGUGAGGUAAAGGCUCACCAAGGCGACGACGGGUAGCCGGCCUGAGAGGGUGACCGGCCACACUGGGACUGAGACACGGCCCAGACUCCUACGGGAGGCAGCAGUGGGGAAUAUUGCACAAUGGGCGCAAGCCUGAUGCAGCAACGCCGCGUGAGGGAUGACGGCCUUCGGGUUGUAAACCUCUUUUAGCAGGGAAGAAGCGAAAGUGACGGUACCUGCAGAAAAAGCACCGGCUAACUACGUGCCAGCAGCCGCCGUAA
Molecule: ribosomal RNA, 484 nt
Filed under: uncultured bacterium
Lineage: Bacteria
Description: partial 16S ribosomal RNA
Rfam family: Bacterial small subunit ribosomal RNA
Source: RNAcentral